This 305-nucleotide long non-coding RNA is filed under the name Capsella rubella. RNAcentral's name for it is "long non-coding RNA (CRUB_LNC002649)". Lineage: Eukaryota; Viridiplantae; Streptophyta; Magnoliopsida; Brassicales; Brassicaceae. The record is from RNAcentral.
GAGAGGAAGAAGAAAACGAUGUAGAACCAGAAGCAGUGACAGGAAGAAGAAAGCCAUUACCUACAGUAACACGAGGAAGAGAAUGAGAGGAAUAGGAAGAGAGUUUUUCAAGUGUACCUGGCUGAGACGUAAGAUGAGCCGUCGCAGUAGAGUCCAUGUACCAAGCUGCAUCAGACGGGUCCGCUAGUGUCAUGGAGUUAAAAGCACCGGCGAGUGCUGUGGGAAUCAGGUCCGUUGAUGGUGAAGCAUUAGGAGGUUGAGCCGAUGUAAAAUUUGCAGCGCCGUGUGGUGGAGGGACUGGUCCU